This 466-nucleotide ribosomal RNA is filed under the name Lancefieldella rimae. RNAcentral describes it as "bacterial SSU rRNA". It matches the Rfam family "Bacterial small subunit ribosomal RNA", at positions 28 to 505 of the family's 1533-position model. The record is from RNAcentral. Lineage: Bacteria; Bacillati; Actinomycetota; Coriobacteriia; Coriobacteriales; Atopobiaceae.
GAUGAACGCUGGCGGCGCGCCUAACACAUGCAAGUCGAACGGUUAAAGCACCUUUUAGGUGUGUAUAAAGUGGCGAACGGCUGAGUAACACGUGGGCAACCUGCCCUCCUCUUGGGGAUAGCCUCGGGAAACCGAGGAUAAUACCCGAUACUUCAAUGUGGCCGCAUGACGACAUUGAGAAAGCUUUUGCGGAGAAGGAUGGGCCCGCGGCCUGUUAGCUUGUUGGUGGGGUAGAGGCCUACCAAGGCAAUGAUGGGUAGCUGGGUUGAGAGACCGACCAGCCAGAUUGGGACUGAGACACGGCCCAGACUCCUACGGGAGGCAGCAGUGGGGAAUCUUGCACAAUGGGCGAAAGCCUGAUGCAGCGACGCCGCGUGCGGGACGAAGGCCUUCGGGUUGUAAACCGCUUUCAGCAGGGACGAGGCGAAAGUGACGGUACCUGCAGAAGAAGCCCCCGCUAACUACA